ACAAACUUGGUCAUUUAGAGGAAGUAAAAGUCGUAACAAGGUUUCCGUAGGUGAACCUGCGGAAGGAUCAUUAGCGAGAGAGAGCGGGUUUCUCCGCCGGCGUCGCCCCCCGUGCCCCCCCGGGGCCGGGGGCCCUCGUCCGGCGUGAGGGGCCCCUUUCCCCCCCCCCAACCGUGUCUACCUGACCUCAGUUGCCUCGGCGGGCGCCCGCGUGGCGUCCGCCGGAGGAUCCUCACUGUUUAAGAUGCUCUGCAGUUCCUGUUCAGUCUGAGCGAGAUAGUUAAAUCUAGUUAAAACUUUCAACAACGGAUCUCUUGGUUCCAGCAUCGAUGAAGAACGCAGC
RNAcentral lists this unclassified non-coding RNA (343 nucleotides) under uncultured fungus. RNAcentral's name for it is "partial contains small subunit ribosomal RNA, internal transcribed spacer 1, and 5.8S ribosomal RNA". The stretch from base 1 to 73 matches the Rfam family "Eukaryotic small subunit ribosomal RNA", at positions 1759 to 1831 of the family's 1831-position model. The record is from RNAcentral. Lineage: Eukaryota; Fungi.